CCAACAUUCACCAUCUGAGGACAGUUUGCAGGGGAGCAGAUGAGACCAAGUUUCAGUGCCUCGGGUGAUGUGUACGGUUGCUAAUGAUCAUUACUAUUUACUGCGUGAUAGUGCCUGAAAUACAGUCGUGAAUCAGUGCUCAACAGGAUAACACAGGACAGAAAGAUGGCUCCUGUCCAGGAGGUGUCCAAAGCCAUGAGGAACGUGAGAGUUAGACACUUCACACCGAGCUCUCUCCAAAAUUUGGCCUUUAGAAAAAAGGAAAACUAUUCUAAAUCUGGCCCUGUGACCAGGAGAGGAGGAAUUCAUCUGAUCAGAAUUACCACCGAUUGCCCCGAGUUUGCAGUGAGGACGUACCCAGAAAUGAAGUCUCCAGCUUCCUGCUCCUCUGCAUCAGUUACUGUGUCAGAGCUUUGGCUUCAGAGGAUGCCCUGCAAGCCCCUGUCGGCUCCCUUGGCCGUACCUACACUACAUGGUUCAACUGCAACGGGGUUCAGCAGCACUUUCUCACCAGCUAAAGACAGCACCCUGCAGGUAAAUGCUGU
RNAcentral lists this long non-coding RNA (545 nucleotides) under Numida meleagris (helmeted guineafowl). Its description in RNAcentral is "lncRNA (ENSNMEG00000015894.1)". Lineage: Eukaryota; Metazoa; Chordata; Aves; Galliformes; Numididae. The record is from RNAcentral.